GUAGGUGGCAAGCGUUGUCCGGAAUUAUUGGGCGUAAAGCGCGCGCAGGCGGUUCUUUAAGUCUGAUGUGAAAGCCCACGGCUCAACCGUGGAGGGUCAUUGGAAACUGGAGAACUUGAGUACAGAAGAGGAAAGCGGAAUUCCACGUGUAGCGGUGAAAUGCGUAGAGAUGUGGAGGAACACCAGUGGCGAAGGCGGCUUUUCUGGUCUGUAACUGACGCUGAGGCGCGAAAGCGUGGGGAGCAAACAGGGAUUAGAUACCCUGGUAGUCCACGCCGUAAACGAUGAGUGCUAAGUGCUAGGGGGGUUUCCGCCCCCCUUAGUGCUGCAGCUAACGCAUUAAGCACUCCGCCUGGGAGUACGGCCGCAAGGCUG
RNAcentral lists this ribosomal RNA (375 nucleotides) under uncultured organism. RNAcentral's name for it is "partial 16S ribosomal RNA". It matches the Rfam family "Bacterial small subunit ribosomal RNA", at positions 527 to 896 of the family's 1533-position model. The record is from RNAcentral.